GGUUAAGCGACUAAGCGUACACGGUGGAUGCCCUGGCAGUCAGAGGCGAUGAAGGACGUGCUAAUCUGCGAUAAGCGUCGGUAAGGUGAUAUGAACCGUUAUAACCGGCGAUUUCCGAAUGGGGAAACCCAGUGUGUUUCGACACACUAUCAUUAACUGAAUCCAUAGGUUAAUGAGGCGAACCGGGGGAACUGAAACAUCUAAGUACCCCGAGGAAAAGAAAUCAACCGAGAUUCCCCCAGUAGCGGCGAGCGAACGGGGAGCAGCCCAGAGCCUGAAUCAGUGUGUGUGUUAGUGGAAGCGUCUGGAAAGGCGCGCGAUACAGGGUGACAGCCCCGUACACAAAAAUGCACAUGCUGUGAGCUCGAUGAGUAGGGCGGGACACGUGGUAUCCUGUCUGAAUAUGGGGGGACCAUCCUCCAAGGCUAAAUACUCCUGACUGACCGAUAGUGAACCAGUACCGUGAGGGAAAGGCGAAAAGAACCCCGGCGAGGGGAGUGAAAAAGAACCUGAAACCGUGUACGUACAAGCAGUGGGAGCACAGAGCAAUCUGUGUGACUGCGUACCUUUUGUAUAAUGGGUCAGCGACUUAUAUUCUGUAGCAAGGUUAACCGAAUAGGGGAGCCGAAGGGAAACCGAGUCUUAACUGGGCGUUAAGUUGCAGGGUAUAGACCCGAAACCCGGUGAUCUAGCCAUGGGCAGGUUGAAGGUUGGGUAACACUAACUGGAGGACCGAACCGACUAAUGUUGAAAAAUUAGCGGAUGACUUGUGGCUGGGGGUGAAAGGCCAAUCAAACCGGGAGAUAGCUGGUUCUCCCCGAAAGCUAUUUAGGUAGCGCCUCGUGAAUUCAUCUCCGGGGGUAGAGCACUGUUUCGGCAAGGGGGUCAUCCCGACUUACCAACCCGAUGCAAACUGCGAAUACCGGAGAAUGUUAUCACGGGAGACACACGGCGGGUGCUAACGUCCGUCGUGAAGAGGGAAACAACCCAGACCGCCAGCUAAGGUCCCAAAGUCAUGGUUAAGUGGGAAACGAUGUGGGAAGGCCCAGACAGCCAGGAUGUUGGCUUAGAAGCAGCCAUCAUUUAAAGAAAGCGUAAUAGCUCACUGGUCGAGUCGGCCUGCGCGGAAGAUGUAACGGGGCUAAACCAUGCACCGAAGCUGCGGCAGCGACGCUUAUGCGUUGUUGGGUAGGGGAGCGUUCUGUAAGCCUGCGAAGGUGUGCUGUGAGGCAUGCUGGAGGUAUCAGAAGUGCGAAUGCUGACAUAAGUAACGAUAAAGCGGGUGAAAAGCCCGCUCGCCGGAAGACCAAGGGUUCCUGUCCAACGUUAAUCGGGGCAGGGUGAGUCGACCCCUAAGGCGAGGCCGAAAGGCGUAGUCGAUGGGAAACAGGUUAAUAUUCCUGUACUUGGUGUUACUGCGAAGGGGGGACGGAGAAGGCUAUGUUGGCCGGGCGACGGUUGUCCCGGUUUAAGCGUGUAGGCUGGUUUUCCAGGCAAAUCCGGAAAAUCAAGGCUGAGGCGUGAUGACGAGGCACUACGGUGCUGAAGCAACAAAUGCCCUGCUUCCAGGAAAAGCCUCUAAGCAUCAGGUAACAUCAAAUCGUACCCCAAACCGACACAGGUGGUCAGGUAGAGAAUACCAAGGCGCUUGAGAGAACUCGGGUGAAGGAACUAGGCAAAAUGGUGCCGUAACUUCGGGAGAAGGCACGCUGAUAUGUAGGUGA
Molecule: ribosomal RNA, 1724 nt
Filed under: Escherichia coli
Lineage: Bacteria; Pseudomonadati; Pseudomonadota; Gammaproteobacteria; Enterobacterales; Enterobacteriaceae
Description: partial 23S ribosomal RNA
Rfam family: Bacterial large subunit ribosomal RNA
Source: RNAcentral